Molecule: non-coding RNA, 72 nt
Organism: Phrynosoma platyrhinos (Desert horned lizard)
Lineage: Eukaryota; Metazoa; Chordata; Lepidosauria; Squamata; Phrynosomatidae
Source: the annotation of a GenBank genome assembly
UGCUGUAUGGUGCAGUGGUUUGAGUGUCAGACUAGGACUCUGGAGAUCAGGGUUCAAUUCCCAGCUCAACCA